This 247-nucleotide ribosomal RNA is filed under the name Escherichia coli. RNAcentral describes it as "partial 16S ribosomal RNA". It matches the Rfam family "Bacterial small subunit ribosomal RNA", at positions 1 to 244 of the family's 1533-position model. Lineage: Bacteria; Pseudomonadati; Pseudomonadota; Gammaproteobacteria; Enterobacterales; Enterobacteriaceae. The record is from RNAcentral. RNAcentral also lists the same sequence under 1 other name.
AAAUUGAAGAGUUUGAUCAUGGCUCAGAUUGAACGCUGGCGGCAGGCCUAACACAUGCAAGUCGAACGGUAACAGGAAUCAGCUUGCUGAUUCGCUGACGAGUGGCGGACGGGUGAGUAAUGUCUGGGAAACUGCCUGAUGGAGGGGGAUAACUACUGGAAACGGUAGCUAAUACCGCAUAAUGUCGCAAGACCAAAGAGGGGGACCUUCGGGCCUCUUGCCAUCGGAUGUGCCCAGAUGGGAUUAG